CCGGUUUUCUUCUGCUUCAGUUCAUUUCUCCGUUACUCUCUUCCUCUGUUGCUUCGUUCCUGAUUCUGUCUGAAAUCGAAUUUAGGGUUCUUCUUACUGCAAUCUCGACGUCUACCUAUGAAUUGCAAUUGAAAUUUUUUGGCGAAUCGAGCUCAACUCUGUCCUCACUCGUGUUGAAAUUUGGUGCUUCUUUGUCCGACUGCCAAUCCGAGUGGCAUAACAGCCAGUCAACACAAUGGCCUAUGAAUUGACUGAGCAAAAAAAAGUUGGACUUGGGCUGAUUGGUUUUGGCUUGUUUUUCACAUUUUUGGGUGUAAUCCUUUUCUUUGACAGGGGAUUGCUUGCUUUAGGAAAUAUAUUUUGGUUAGUUGGAGUGGGACUCUUACUUGGUUGGCGUUCUACAUGGAAUCUUUUUACCAACCGAGCAAAUCACAAGGGUUCUGCAUCCUUUCUUCUUGGCCUCUUCUUCAUUUUUGUUCGCUGGCCCAUAAUCGGCAUACUCUUGGAGAUAUGUGGCUGUUUUGUUCUCUUUGGGGGUUUCUGGCCCUCAAUUAAAGGGUUCUUGUACCAGAUUCCAGUUCUUGGGUGGAUACUUCCAUACCCCAUCAUGAUUCUCGAAAGUUUGUGGAGAGGCUCACGUUAAUCACUUCAAAUCUGUAAGCGUAUGUUCAAAUGAGAGUUGACAACGAACUAAUCCAAUUGUAAUUAGAUUUCAUCUUCAGAUGCUGCAUUUGAAUGGAAGAUCCUGAAGCUGCAAAUUGUGGGACCAAAAUUGAAGUGUAGAAGCAACAUCCUUGUGGUUGAAUGCAAUCAAGUGUGUGAAGCAAUUGAUUACAAGCACAGAGCCAAAGGGUGGCACCCACAUCCUUAAAUUAAAUUCAACUAUCAUUGUGAGUAAAUGAAUCUUUAUUCGUGAAUGGCACUCUUUUUCUUACAAAAAUGUGCAAAAUUGCUCUUGUUUUAAUUCAAUUUGUUCUACUCAGGAGGCCUACUUUAUUUUAAACUUUAGUUAUUGCUAGCUGUGGAAAUGGUCCUUCUAAAGUAUAAAAUUUGAGAUUUUAGGUGUGACUAAAUUGCAAACAUGAUCCUAUUCAAUUAGGAUCGAGUCACAUUGAUAAAAUUUAGUGGUUG
RNA transcript from Cucurbita moschata (crookneck pumpkin), 1131 nucleotides. It is a transcript of the gene named vesicle transport protein GOT1, with no coding region annotated. The record is from RefSeq and is a predicted model, not a curated record. Lineage: Eukaryota; Viridiplantae; Streptophyta; Magnoliopsida; Cucurbitales; Cucurbitaceae. The transcript is spliced from 8 exons.